RNAcentral lists this ribosomal RNA (225 nucleotides) under Rhodospirillaceae bacterium. RNAcentral's name for it is "partial 23S ribosomal RNA". It matches the Rfam family "Bacterial large subunit ribosomal RNA", at positions 2690 to 2925 of the family's 2925-position model. The record is from RNAcentral. Lineage: Bacteria; Pseudomonadati; Pseudomonadota; Alphaproteobacteria; Rhodospirillales; Rhodospirillaceae.
GACCGGGAUGAACGUACCUCUGGUGUACCAGUUGUUCCGCCAGGAGCAUCGCUGGGUAGCUAUGUACGUACGGGAUAACCGCUGAAAGCAUCUAAGCGGGAAGCCUCCUUCAAUACCAGGACUCCCUAUCAGAGCCGUGGAAGACCACCACGUUGAUAGGAUGGAUGUGGAAGCAUGGCAACAUGUGAAGCUAACCAUUACUAAUUGCUCGAUUGGCUUGAAUUU